RNAcentral lists this ribosomal RNA (279 nucleotides) under uncultured Oscillibacter sp. RNAcentral describes it as "partial 16S ribosomal RNA". It matches the Rfam family "Bacterial small subunit ribosomal RNA", at positions 67 to 339 of the family's 1533-position model. Lineage: Bacteria; Bacillati; Bacillota; Clostridia; Eubacteriales; Oscillospiraceae. The record is from RNAcentral.
CGGAAAGAGACUUCGGUCAAUGGAAGCUUUGACUUAGUGGCGGACGGGUGAGUAACGCGUGAGGAACCUGCCUUUCAGUGGGGGACAACAGUUGGAAACGACUGCUAAUACCGCAUGAUGCAUAGGGGUCGCAUGAUUCUUAUGCCAAAGAUUUAUCGCUUCAAGAUGGCCUCGCGUCUGAUUAGCUAGUUGGCGGGGUAACGGCCCACCAAGGCUACGAUCGGUAGGGGUUCUGAGAGGAAGGCCCCCACAAUGGGACUGAGACACGGACCAAACUCC